This 563-nucleotide ribosomal RNA is filed under the name uncultured bacterium. RNAcentral describes it as "bacterial SSU rRNA". It matches the Rfam family "Bacterial small subunit ribosomal RNA", at positions 338 to 916 of the family's 1533-position model. The record is from RNAcentral.
CCUACGGGAGGCAGCAGUGGGGAAUUUUCCGCAAUGGGCGAAAGCCUGACGGAGCAAUACCGCGUGAGGGAGGAAGGCUCUUGGGUCGUAAACCUCUUUUCUCAGGGAAGAAAAAAUGACGGUACCUGAGGAAUAAGCAUCGGCUAACUCCGUGCCAGCAGCCGCGGUAAUACGGAGGAUGCAAGCGUUAUCCGGAAUGAUUGGGCGUAAAGCGUCCGCAGGUGGCGAUGAAAGUCUGCUGUUAAAGAGUCUAGCUCAACUAGAUAAGAGCAGUGGAAACUACAUAGCUAGAGUACGUUCGGGGCAGAGGGAAUUCCUGGUGUAGCGGUGAAAUGCGUAGAGAUCAGGAAGAACACCGGUGGCGAAGGCGCUCUGCUAGGCCGUAACUGACACUGAGGGACGAAAGCUAGGGGAGCGAAUGGGAUUAGAUACCCCAGUAGUCCUAGCCGUAAACGAUGGAUACUAGGCGUGGCUUGUAUCGACCCGAGCCGUGCCGUAGCUAACGCGUUAAGUAUCCCGCCUGGGGAGUACGCCGGCAACGGUGAAACUUAAGGAAUUGACGG